UGAACGCUAGCGGCAGGCUUAACACAUGCAAGUCGAACGGUAACAUUGGUGCUUGCACCAGAUGACGAGUGGCGCACGGGUGCGUAACGCGUAUGCAAUCUACCUUUUACUGAAGAAUAGCCCAGAGAAAUUUGGAAUAAUCCUUCAUAAUAUCAUUUAUCAGCAUUGAUUUUUGAUUAAAGCUCCGGCGGUAAAAGAUGAGCAUGCGUUCUAUUAGCUAGUAGGUGAGGUAACGGCUCACCUAGGCUACGAUAGAUAGGGGCCCUGAGAGGGGGAUCCCCCACACUGGUACUGAGACACGGACCAGACUCCUACGGGAGGCAGCAGUGAGGAAUAUUGGACAAUGGAGGCAACUCUGAUCCAGCCAUGCCGCGUGCAGGAUGACUGCCCUAUGGGUUGUAAACUGCUUUUAUAUAGGAAGAAACACUCCCACGUGUGGGGGCUUGACGGUACUAUAGAAUAAGGAUCGGC
This 471-nucleotide ribosomal RNA is filed under the name uncultured Bacteroidota bacterium. Its description in RNAcentral is "bacterial SSU rRNA". It matches the Rfam family "Bacterial small subunit ribosomal RNA", at positions 30 to 497 of the family's 1533-position model. Lineage: Bacteria; Pseudomonadati; Bacteroidota. The record is from RNAcentral.